This is a small nuclear RNA of Neogale vison (American mink), 146 nucleotides long. RefSeq annotates it as U4 spliceosomal RNA. Lineage: Eukaryota; Metazoa; Chordata; Mammalia; Carnivora; Mustelidae. The record is from RefSeq and is a predicted model, not a curated record. The transcript has a single exon.
AGCUUUGCGCAGUGGCAGUAUCGUAGCCAAUGAGGUUUAUCCGAGGCGCGAAUAUUGCUAAUUGAAAAAAUAAGCAAUAUAAGCAAACAAAAAAACCUCAAAAUGAUUUUUCAUUUAGGAAAUGCAAUUUAAACCACAGUAAUAUA